CCUACGGGAGGCAGCAGUGGGGAAUAUUGCACAAUAGGCGCAAGCCUGAUGCAGCCAUGCCGCGUGUGUGAAGAAGGCCUUCGGGUUGUAAAGCACUUUCAGCGGGGAGGAAGGCGUUAAGGUUAAUAACCUUGGCGAUUGACGUUACCCGCAGAAGAAGCACCGGCUAACUCCGUGCCAGCAGCCGCGGUAAUACGGAGGGUGCAAGCGUUAAUCGGAAUUACUGGGCGUAAAGCGCACGCAGGCGGUCUGUCAAGUCGGAUGUGAAAUCCCCGGGCUCAACCUGGGAACUGCAUUCGAAACUGGCAGGCUAGAGUCUUGUAGAGGGGGGUAGAAUUCCAGGUGUAGCGGUGAAAUGCGUAGAGAUCUGGAGGAAUACCGGUGGCGAAGGCGGCCCCCUGGACAAAGACUGACGCUCAGGUGCGAAAGCGUGGGGAGCAAACAGGAUUAGAUACCCCUGUAGUC
This 465-nucleotide ribosomal RNA is filed under the name uncultured Klebsiella sp. RNAcentral describes it as "bacterial SSU rRNA". It matches the Rfam family "Bacterial small subunit ribosomal RNA", at positions 338 to 795 of the family's 1533-position model. Lineage: Bacteria; Pseudomonadati; Pseudomonadota; Gammaproteobacteria; Enterobacterales; Enterobacteriaceae. The record is from RNAcentral.